RNAcentral lists this ribosomal RNA (457 nucleotides) under uncultured bacterium. Its description in RNAcentral is "bacterial SSU rRNA". It matches the Rfam family "Bacterial small subunit ribosomal RNA", at positions 33 to 507 of the family's 1533-position model. The record is from RNAcentral.
GACACGCUGGCGGCGUGCCUAACACAUGCAAGUCGAUCGGAGCAGCAAUGCUUAGAGGCGAACGGGUGAGGAAAACGUAGUAACCAACCCUUUAGACUGGGAUAGCCACUGGAAACGGUGGGUAAUACCGGAUAAGCUCGAGAGAGGAAAGGCAGAGAAGCGCUAAGGACCGACCUGCGCCCAUCAGAUAGUUGGUGAGGUAAAGGCUUACCAAGUCAAAGACGGGAAACCGACGUGAGAGCGUGUACGGUCACAAGGGCACUGAGAGACGGGCCCUACUCCUACGGGAGGCAGCAGUGGGGAAUAUUGGACAAUGGGCGCAAGCCUGAUCCAGCCAUUCCGCGUGCAGGAUGAAGGCCUUCGGGUUGUAAACUGCUUUUGUACGGAACGAAACGGUCUGCCCUAAUACGGCAGGCUAAUGACGGUACCGUAAGAAUAAGCACCGGCUAACUACGUG